RNAcentral lists this ribosomal RNA (468 nucleotides) under uncultured bacterium. RNAcentral describes it as "partial 16S ribosomal RNA". It matches the Rfam family "Bacterial small subunit ribosomal RNA", at positions 28 to 507 of the family's 1533-position model. The record is from RNAcentral.
GACGAACGCUGGCGGCGUGCUUAACACAUGCAAGUCGAACGGAAAGGCCCUGCUUUUGUGGGGUGCUCGAGUGGCGAACGGGUGAGUAACACGUGAGUAACCUGCCCUUGACUUUGGGAUAACUUCAGGAAACUGGGGCUAAUACCGGAUAUGAGCUCCUGCUGCAUGGUGGGGGUUGGAAAGUUUCGGCGGUUGGGGAUGGACUCGCGGCUUAUCAGCUUGUUGGUGGGGUAGUGGCUUACCAAGGCUUUGACGGGUAGCCGGCCUGAGAGGGUGACCGGCCACAUUGGGACGGAGAUACGGCCCAGACUCCUACGGGAGGCAGCAGUGGGGAAUAUUGCACAAUGGGCGGAAGCCUGAUGCAGCAACGCCGCGUGCGGGAUGACGGCCUUCGGGUUGUAAACCGCUUUCGCCUGUGACGAAGCGUGAGUGACGGUAAUGGGUAAAGAAGCACCGGCUAACUACGUG